AAGGUCACCUCAUCACGCGCUUUAGACGCCAUGCCUUGGUUCGCUUUACCGUUAACUCUGAAAUUCUUAGAUAAUGCUGCUGCUGCUGCGAUCGAUCGACAUGAUGGCUUCGAUUGAUCUUGUUGAUGCAUACAUAAAUUGAUGCGCUGGUUUUCUUUAGUUCAUCAGGUCAGGUCAGCUAAUAAAGCUGGAACUAGCUAGGGAACAAUCAAUGAUUAAAAAUUGAAAUCUGACAGUUGAUUAGUUUGGCUGCCUGCUUUGCCUUGAUAGAGAAUGNNNNNNNNNNNNNNNNNNNNNNNNNNNNNNNNNNNNNNNNNNNNNNNNNNNNNNNNNNNNNNNNNNNNNNNNNNNNNNNNNNNNNNNNNNNNNNNNNNNNNNNNNNNNNNNNNNNNNNNNNNNNNNNNNNNNNNNNNNNNNNNNNNNNNNNNNNNNNNNNNNNNNNNNNNNNNNNNNNNNNNNNNNNNNNNNNNNNNNNNNNNNNNNNNNNNNNNNNNNNNNNNNNNNNNNNNNNNNNNNNNNNNNNNNNNNNNNNNNNNNNNNNNNNNNNNNNNNCUCUCUCUCUCUCUCUCUCUCUCUCUUGCUGGUUUGCAUCAAUGGUGGCGAUGAUGCCGUUCCCUGGCCGUGGCUUACUACAGUUUUGGAUGCAUUUGCCUUUGCUCUUAAUACUACUACUAGGCCUACUAGGUAGCUUCUAAUCCUGUGUCUAGCUCUUCCAUAAGGUGUCACGCCUUUGCUUUAUCUUUGCUCUUCAAAAGCUGAGCCCUAGCACCCUAGCUAUAGGCUCUAGCUUGUACAACUAAUUACUUUGCUCUUCAUUUGGUCUGAACUCUGAAUAGUUGCUAUACUCUUGCUAUGCUAGAGAGAGAAAGAGAGAGACAGAGAUAUAGAGGUUUUUUUUAGCGGGUAGAAGGGAGAGUGUUAGAAGGGAUAGAAAGGGAUUGGUGAAAUUGUUGAGAGGAUUUAAUGUUGAGAUAUUUCUUCCAGUCAUCAUAUGCUCCAGGAUCAAAUGAUGAGAUGAUUGGGAGACAAAUAUAGUUGUGCUCCCCUCUCUCUUCGUAGAUUCGUGUUUUGAUUGUUUCUAACUCUGAGCUUUCAUACCAUCGGUGUCACAUUGCAUAGUAAUCUAUUCUCUUCAUUCGACACUGUUUUUUUCCAACACUUUUAUUAUGAUUUUCUCAAAUUAUAUCUAGAUUUUGUUCUGGAAUUGGUUUAGCAUCAGGUAUCGUAUACUAUCAUUCGGAGUUAAUUGUUCUGCACGUACCUCAUCUAUAUGUUGCAUGCCCUCUCCUCCCCUUGCUCUCCAAUUACCCUCAGUGGUAAACAUAGCAACAAAAUCAACGAUCUAAUCUACCCGUAAGGAAUCUAAUUAAUCUUGAUACAGUUUUGAUAAGACAAAAGGUAAAUGCUUACACAGAGUUAUCUUGCUUGAGUCGCCUCUUCUGUUAGUUAACUACAUAUAUUUCUAUGUCGUACCGGUUUCAUGUUUAGCAUUCUUUACCAUCUUCGAAGAUGGUCAUUUUGCAUUUGUUUGCCUUUGAGCAUAGAAUGUCCUUAUAGAGAAGCAACUUCUAUUUUGGAACUUGGAAGAGGGAAAACCUUUGUUAACUUCUGCCUUUCAAGAGAUAACAGUGAAACACAUUAUGUGUCACGUACUAACAUAAUUGCACCUCAUUUAUGUAGUACGACACAGCAUUUAGGGGAACUCAGAAGCUUAGUACUCCCUCCAAAAGCCGAAAUAAUGAGUGCACUUACUUGAUUUUCUGUUUUGCACUCUAGUAAUGGUAUAUUGCUUAAUUACAAACGGUAGGCCUAAACCUGCUUGUGCUUGUAAUGCCAGCUAUAUUAUAUUUUUUUUGACUUGAUUAAGUUCUCCUAUAAAUUUUAAAAAUAGUGUAUAUAUUUGUAUAUUUUAAGGUGUUUUAUAAAUGGUUAUUGCUGUAGCAUCUGCCCGCAGACCGUUGGUUUUAAUUUCCGUAAAAGUUCCUGUUCUAUGUUUACUUUGUUUAAAAUUUCCUGAAUGUGAUGAUCCUCUAUUCCUAAAUAGUUCCAACUCACUACAUUUUUUUCUAGCCAUGCAGCUAUGCCACGUCAACAAGUCUUGCAUAUUAGUGAUAAAUUGCAUCUUUUGAAUUAAUGUAUCCAUGCAACCAUGCCACAUCACCAGGUCAUGCAUGUGGAUCAAAAGUUACCACAUUGUUUUUAUUUUUUAUUUUUUUGUGUUAUAAUGCACGGUAUAUGUGUUUGACGCGUGGAGCAUAUCUAUGUAGUUCAUGCUUUGCAUUUUUGUUGAAACUAGCAAUGUGCCCGUGCGUUGCAACAGAUUCAAAGUAGAAUAAUACAUGUUCACAAACUUAAAGAAAAACACUCUAGUUUUGGUGUAUAUAUAUCACUAAAAAUAUACUCGUAUUAUGUUUCACUCAAAAUAUAUUCCUCAUGGUUGUUUUGAUAAGGUGAGAGAGAGAGAGAUGUGGUUGGUUUCAACUUUCAAGAUACUACGGGGUUUCUGCAAAUUGGAGCAGAGAAGUGGGGUCUUGUUGCAAAAAUAUCACAGUUUACCUCACAGCCUUUAGAUGCAGAUCUGAUGGUAAGAAUUGACGGAUGGCAGACAAACCAUCAUCACCAACUGAGUCUUUUAUAGGAGUAGAGAAAUGGCAUUUCAAUAACUUAAGUCCAAAAGUUUUUCUCUUUUUAUACACCAUUUUGUUACACACUUCAUAUGAUUUAUUGUUUUUAAAUAUAAAUCAUGAACACUUGAUCCUACAUUUGCUUGUGCCUUAGUUAUAUACCACCAAAUUAUACAUUUCCAUUAACAUGUUUCCCCGCAACAACGUGUAGGGUAUGAUCUUGUUUUAAUAAAUGAUCAGGUUGCACAAAUGAAAUUUAUGUAUUGCCUGCCCUCUGCAAUUAUUUUAGAUGAAACGUUGAUUGACUGUCAAUUGCUUGUUGUUUCAGAAGUUUCCUCGAGAUAAUUAAAUACUUUUAGCAGCCCCUUCAUUUUCAUCCUAACAACUUUUCACUUAUUAUCCUUAUGUUGGAAGUUCAAUUUCAAAUUCAUGGGAUGUGGUUUCUUGCCCAUAGGACUUUCCCUAGAGUAACAUUGUUCAUAUUUUUAUCCAGUAUACAAAUACGUCUUGUGAAAUGAAGAUAUCAUUGCUGGUUUUGCAUUUCUACUUUUUUUAACUUAAAAGAAUACAAGAUGGAAUGCUUACAAAGUAAAUUAGUAGUUUAAUGAAAUUAAGUUUAUCUUUAUAUAAGUUUGUUGAGAAUACAGGAUCAUUUAAGUCUUGUUCUUUGUUAUUGGGAUAGGUAACUUGCUUUUAUACCGGUAUUGUUCGCUUGUUGAUUUUACUUCAAAUAAACUCGUUGAAUGGCUACCAAUUUUUACAAAAAUUAAAAUCAAUGUAGCAUUUUAUUUACCAAUAAAGCAUUUAGUUUUAUGCUUCGACGGUUUGGCGGCAUAUAAGCUUAAUUAACUCAUCCAUUAAUUAACUUUUUUUGCACAAAAGCACUUUUUUGCGGAAUCCAUUAAUUACUUCAUAACAUGGUAGUAAGGCGGGUGUGGGGCACAUGAAAAUCAAUUCUGCCUCAUUUCUUUGCUUCUUCAUUUCACAUGGAGAUAAUUCUGCUUGGAUGGGAGCUAGACAAGACGCCUGACCUAAGGCAGAUCUAGAAUAUCACGGGUACUGUACUACCUAACCCUUUUGGUACUGUUAAGUCGAUCGUCAACUUUACUGAACUUGAGAGAAAAGAAAGAAGAAUAGAAAGUUUGGAAUAUUGCCAACACCUGAUAUAUAUUGACUUGCUACCACUUGCCCGUUCAAAAUGUGCCAAUCUCUCGGUAGCCAUAUGUAGCUUGAAUUAUCAGCUGCUAGCAAAACCAGAAUAAAGCUUGCACAUGAGCUUCAGAUACUCUACUAUUUUAAUUAGGUUGAAUUUCUUUGUUGGAGCUGGGCAAAAAGCUAAUUGAUGGGAUUUCAUAUGGUGCCAUUUACAUCAAGAAUCUUCUAGAAGGCACGAACUCAACAGGAAAUACAUGAACUGUCGCAGGAAGAAUUAUGUUUAAAAAUAAGUGUCGUGGUUUUAGCUCAAAUUAACUAACAUCACGACACUUGUUUUGAAACUGAGGGGUACUAUAGUUCCUGUGUUUGUUACGAAGGAAACGUGCUAUUGAUCCAUCCUUUUCCAGACAUAAACCUGCCGGGAGCCGGACCACAAUCGUCGUCGGCCGGUGCCGGUGCAUAUAUGUAUAUUGUACUGGUCACGCAACAGCUAGCAAAGAUGCAUGGAUGAUCUGGAUCAACCUCAUCUCUUUGGCAUGUGUUCCUUUCAAUCAAAAGGCAUGAGAGAGGGAAUAAUCACUGACUUUCGGACUACUACGAGAGAAGUGUCAUCCGUACGUUUCUGAUUCUGGCUCAUGCAUUCCCGUGCCGUGUGUACGUACCCAAGUCAAUGCUGCAAAGAUAUUGCUCCUCUUAAUUUAUGCCCUUGUUCUUAUUUUUUAUUUUUUUUAUUACGGGUAGGUUUGCCAAAAUAGGAGCCAUGAUAAGACCUGCAAUGUCAGUUAGUUAUGUACUAGUCCUUCCGUUCCAUAAUAUAAGAGCGUUUUUAACGUUAAAAACUAUUGAAUUCAUGCUUUAGCCAACUCAUUUAAAAGUCUGAAUUGAUGGAGAAAGGUGGACAAUAUAUUUAAACAAUAACACUCUUAUAAUAUAGGAAGGAGAAGUAGUACAUUAUUGGCAAAUUAAUACGGACAUUCUCCUUGCAUCGUAUCGUAUCUGAAUAUGGGCUCAUGAUAUAUAAUAAGGGUAACCAAACAAAAGCGAUUUCAGAUUUUUGUUCGCACUGGUUAUUAUUUUUCUCCCGAAAGAUUCCACAGGGCCACAAACCACAAUUAACCUAGUAUAUACUUUUAUCUAAAAUAUUGUACUAACAGAUUUCCUACGUAUACAAUACACGGAGAAAGCAUGCACUACUUUGCGGAUUUUUUUUUUUGCGGGUAAGCAUCUAGCAUUAUAGCCGCCGAAUCACCCUUACGUACAUUUGUAAACGGUAAUGCACUAGCUUUCGAUCUGUGAGUGCAACCAAAAAGUCCUGGUCGUGAAUCGUAUCAACAUGAAAGCUGUUGAAUACAUUAUGUAUGUGUAUAUUGUGUCUUGGGCUCACCUUCUAGUUUUUUCUGUAUAAUUAAGGUUGUAGUCUCGUCAUGUACACCAUAUAUAUAUGUUUGGUGCACCGAUCAAUGUAAUUGUGUUGCAUAGUCUAUUCUAGUCUUCUACCUGGUAUCUAUCGCACGUCGUUCCCAGACAUAGUCGCCGCCGCCUGCCGCCGCCGCUGCCGGUUCCUCCGGUCGCCACUGCUGCUGCUGGUCGGCGCCGCCCUCCUACCCGACGCUGCCGCCACCCGCCGCCGUCGCGACUUCCUCCUAGCCGCCGCCGCCGGUCGCCGCCGCACCCCUCAGCUUCCACGCCCCUCUCCCACCCGCGCCGCUCCUCCCUCUCCCACCCGCGUCACACCUUCCUCUUCAACCCGUGCUGAACCCUGACCCUAGCCGCCCCACCCGCGCCGUACCUUCCCACUUCCUCCUCGAUGCAUCAUGAGUUCCUUCUCCUUCACCGUCUCCAACCCCUUCACCGGUUUUGAUGUCACCUUCGUCCGUGAUCUCAACAUCCACGAGCGUGUUCCUGUGGUGCAUGAUCAAUCCACCGCGUCCUACUCCGCUUGAAAGCGGUACUUCUCCUUGGCGUUUCGCGAGUACCUGCUCCACGGCCACGUCGAUGGCACCAUGGACUUGAGCCUCAUGAUUCACGACGGCGAGUGGAUGAUCCUCGACGCCACCAUCAUCCACUGGUUCUACCUCACCAUCUCCAAGGACCUCCUCCACACGGUGGUGGAUGAUGACCACGACGCCUCCGCCGUCUGGACCAAGCUCAACGGCCUCUCCACCGACAACAAACUGCAGCGCAAGCUCCUCCUCCAUGGCGAGUUUUAUGGGUGCCAGCAGCUUGACCCGUCCAUCGACGAUCUUUGCAUGCGCCUCAAAAAUCUUGCCGAUGAACUCCAUGAUCUCGGCGAGACGGUUGACGACGAGCUCCUCAUCAGCACCCUCACUGCCGGUCUCAACAAGGACUUUAGGAACGCUGCCUUCAACCUCACCCUCAUCCCGGAGCCCACCUUUGCCAAGGUGGUGGCGUAUCUCAAGUUGGAGGAGCGACAGAUGAAGAUGGCCCGGACUCGGGCGACCCACACCGCCCUUGUUGCCGGCACCCGAGUGGGCUCGGCGCCACCUCCGCCGCGUCCCGCGCCAGUGCCACUGGCCGCGACGGUCGCCUCAUUCCCGCCAUCCUCGGCCGCAGCUAACGGGGGUCGCUGCGGUGGCCGCAAGCAAUAGCUGGGCGCCGGAGCUCACGGAGGAGCCGCCCGCCCCCAGCAGUCGUAUCAGCCGGCCCCGUGGUACGCCGACCAGAACCCAUGGACCGGCGUUGUGCACGCCUACUCCAUGUCGGUUCCCCGCGCCCCUGCCCCGGGUAUCCUCGGUGCGUGGCCUCCUUCUCAUCAGGCGUUUUACGCCACGCCGCAGCCCUACGCGGCGCUCUACAGCCCACUCUCCUACGGACAGUCGUCGCAGCCCACUCUCCUACGGACAGCCAUCGCAGCCUGCCCUCCCACCCACGCCGUGGGACCCGGCGCUCCUGGUGGCCCUAAACUCCGCACCUGUUCCAUCCACCUACAUCAGCGGCGGCGGCUGGUAUAUGUACACUGGAGCUACCGUGCAUAUGGCUGCUCAUCCCAGUAACCUCCACACCUCCCAUCCCGUCCACACCUCUGCUCACAUCACCGUCGGUGAUGGUUCAUCCCUUCACAUAACUCAUAUAGGACAUGCAUCCUUUCCAUUCAUGUCUACUCCGUUGUCAUUACCUAACAUCUUAGUUUCUCCUGAUCUUAUUAAAAAUCUUGUCUAUGUUCGUUCUUUUACACGUGAAAAUAUUGUUAUCGUUGAGUUUGACAAGUGUGGUUUUUCUGUUAAGGACGCUCGCACCCGGAUGAUACUCCACCGAUGUGACAGCCCCGACGAGCUCUAGACAUUCCACUCCACCGCCUCCACCACCUCCGCCACCCCUGUCGCCCUCAUCACUGGCGUGGAUCUCUGGCACGCUCGCUUGGGUCAUCCCAACCCCGCCACCCGUCAUCAUAUACUUCGGAGUUUUUCUUUCACGUGUAAUAAGAUCGACGAUCACUCUGCCAUGCAUGUCGCCUCGGCAAACAUGCUCGUCUUCCUUUUAGGACGUCUUCUCAUGUUGCAUCGUACCCGUUUGAGUGAAUUUAUAGUGAUGUUUGGACCUCUCCAAUUGCAAGUAAUACGGACUAUCUUUAUUACCUUGUCAUACUUGAUGAUUUUUUGCACUAUGUGUGGACAUUUCUGUUGCGGCGUAAGUCCGAUGUAAUUUUCACUCUCACGGCAUUUUACUCCUAUGUUUUCACGCAGUUUGGUCGUCCCAUUCUUGCUUUUCAGACAGAUAACGGGAAGGAGUUGGACAACUUAGCUGUUCGUACUCUCCUCACCACACAUGGCAUGACUUUUUGUCUCACAUGCCCGUACACUUUGCAAUAGAACGGUCGCGCUGAGCGUGUCCUCAACACUCUUAAUGACUGCGCCCGGACGCUUCUCUUUCAUGCCAAUGUGCCUCCGCGCUUUUGGCCUGACGCUCUCGCGACCGCAUCACUCCUCAUUAACAUCUGCCCUUGUCGUACUCGCGGGAACUUUGCACCUCAUCAUCUUCUCUUCUGUGCACCACCCUCUUAUGAUAAGCUUCGCAUUUCCGGCUGUCUCUACUAUCCUAGCAUCGCCUCCACUACGCCACAUAAGCUUGCACCCCGCUCUGUCGCAUGCAUCUUCCUCGGCUACCCACCUAACACUAAAGGAUACCGCUACUACGACCCGGUCUCCCAUCGAGUAUUCACCUCCCGACACGUUUACUUUGAUGAGAAUGUGUUUCCUUUUCAGCAGCAGGUACCUCUCGUCGCCCCGUCGCCACCGGGCACCGGUGACCCUUCGGUGACCCCGUCAGGUGGACGGCCUAGCUCGGCUCUCGGACCGCCUCCGGGCUUUGGCGGUCCCCACGCCGCCGUCAUCGUCACUACCGGCCUCGCCGUCGGCGCCUUCCCCGAUCGCCUCGGUCGUCGCCCCUUCGCCAGCCGCCUCGCCCGCACCCUCGCCCGCGGCCUCGCUGGCUGCCUCCUCAGGCUCGUCUCGGAGUUGUCGUCUCGCUCCCUCACUCAGGCUCGAGCCGGCGUUCACCGCCCGAGUCUGCGGUACUCCAGUGACGAGUAUCUCCUUGCCGCCUCCACCACCGAGUCGUCCCCGAUUACUGUGUUCCCCAGGGCAGCCCUCCGUGAUCCUCACUGGCUUGCUGCGAUGCAGGAAUAGUUCGACGCUCUUCAGCGGAAUCGUACCUGGACAUUGGUUCCCCGGCCUUCUCGCGCCAAUGUCAUCAAUGGGCAAGUGGGUCUUUUGUCAUAAGACCCGCUCGGAUGGUAAACUUGAGGGCUACAAGGCUCGUUGGGUGGUCUACGGGUUUCGGCAGCUAGCUGGCGUUGACUUCACUGAGAAAUUCGCACUGGUUGUCAAACCGGACACGAUCCGCACCAUCCUCCAGCUGGUGGUCUCCCGAGGCUGGCCGAUUCAUUAGAUGGAUGUCUCCAACGCCUUCCUUGAUGGCCAUUUUGAGGAGCAGUUUUACUGUGAGCAGCCCACCAGUUUCAUCGACGCCUCUCUUCCUGGGCAUGUGUGCUUGCUGUCCCGGUCUCUAUACAGUCUCAAGCAAGCACCUCGCGCCUGGUACCAGCAUAUCGCCGGGUUCCUUCAGACACUGGGCUUCAGCGUCACUCGCUCAGAUGCCUCAUUGUUUGUCUAUCCCCGCGGUGACAUGACUGCCUAUUUUCUUCUCUACGUCGAUGACAUCAUCCCGACGGCCUCGUCCGCAACCCUUCUUCAGCAGGUCACCCUCCGGCUGCGUGAUGAGUUUGCUAUCAAGGACUUGGGCGCUCUCCAUUAUUUCCUUGGCACUGAGGUCGUUUGGCGACCCGACGGCUUCUUUCUUCAUGAGCAGAAGUAUACGCAUGAGCUAUUUGAGCGUGUCGGCUUGCUCAAUUGUCACCCCUGUUGCUACUCCUGUUGACACGAAGGCCGAGGUUUCUGCUCUCGAGGGCUCGCCCGCAUUGGAUGCUCCGCUCUACCGGUCCAUCGUCGGUGCUCUCUUCAGUAUCUAACCCUCACCCUGUCGGAUCUACAGUAUGUUGUUCAGCAGGUGUGCCUUCAUAUGCACGACCCUCAUGACUCUCAUUGGACACUCGUGAAACGGAUUCUCUGAUACAUCCGUGGCACGAUGUCCCUUGGCUCAUUCUCUCGGCGUCCACUUCUUUGGAGAUGGCGGCUUAUUCCGACGCGGACUGGGCUGGCUGCCCCGAUACCCGUCGCUCCACCUCUAACUACUGCGUCUACCUCGGUCCUUCCCUCGUCUCGUGGUCGUCCAAGUGACAACCCACCGUUUCGCGCUCCUGCGCAGUGGCCGAGUACCGAGCAGUGGUUAACGUCGUCGCUGAGUGCACCUGGUUACGACAGCUGCUUCAGGAGUUGCAUCAUGAUGUCUACCAGGCUACGGUUGUCUAUUGUGACAACGUCUCCGUGGUGUACCUUUCUGCCAACCCCGUUCAUCAUCGCCGGACUAAGCACAUUGAGAUGGACAUUCACUUUGUGCGUGAGCAGGUGACCCUUGGACGCAUUUUGGUCCUCGAUAUUCCGACCGCCCAACAGUUCGUCGAUGUGAUGACUAAGGGACUCGCUACUUCCACUUUCGAGGAGUUUCGUUCUAGUCUCUGCGUCUCCGGCGCCGCUUCGACUGCGGGGGAUGUUGAAUAUAUUUUGUACGUGUAUAUUGUAUCUUGGGCUAACUUCCUUGUUUUUCUGUAUAGUUGAGGUUGUGGCCCCAUUAUGUGCAACAUAUAUACGUGACUGAUGCAAUGUAAUUGUGUUGCACAGUCUAUUCUAGUCUUCUACAAAAGCUUUUGUGUUAAUAAACUGUUCAAUGGCGCCGCAUCCGUACGUAGUGAUCAGAUUUUUUGCCUGAAGAAAGGACCCAUACCCGCGAAAACAGGACAAAUCAAAUAAGGUGCAUUUUCCCACAAAAAAGUACUCCUAAACACAUGGUGAAGACAUACCUAGCUAGGGCGGUUGGUUCAGGGGCUACUACCAAUAAGCGCCCCCAUAUAGUGCUGUUUAAAAAUAAAUAAAAAUACUAUAUUACUCCCUCCGUCCCAAUAUUCUGGUCUUAAAUUUGUCGAGAUAAGGAUGUACCUAAUACUAAAACGUGACUUGAUACAUUCAUAUUUAGACAAAUCUAAAACAAAAAUUUUGAGACGGAGUGAAUACUAUACUACUCGUAGGUGACAUGUCCGUUGACUCUAUCAAUUUACAACAAUAUUUGGUAGACACUGUGCAAGUUUACGCGUCGACAUGAUGUAUUCAAUACAGCAGUACAUAAAGUGCAUGAUGCAUACGUAGCUACCACCACGCCGGAGGCUCCUUAAUUUUUACCCAUAAUUUGGCCCUAGUCGCUUACCCCAUACAAGGAUGAAACAAGUGAGCCCGGCAGCGAUGCGACGGGUGCAAAAGCGCGCCACGAGUCACUGUUCAAUCCCUUUACCUCCCAUCAAACAGUGGCAAGGAGAGGACGCCGGCCGGCCGGAGCCGGUAAAGAUGGCGCCACCAGUGGUUUACAUGAACACGGCCAUGUAUAUAUAUUCUCCCGGCCGGGGAGAGAGACGGUAGAAUUAGGCCAACUCCACCGCACGAUCCUAAACGGAUGUCCGGUUUAACUGAAUUUUGUCCCUUUAAGGCAGCGAUGGGUUCGUCCGUGUCCGGUCUUGUCCGUUGGAUCGUGCGUGCGUGUAUCGCACGGCCGCACCCCAAAUCACGUUCGCAUUGGACAUGAUUAAAAAAACAGAAAAACGUAAAUAAAAUGACUAAAAAAAGUAAAUAAACACAGUUAAAAAAACAUAAAACAUAGUGUUCACUUAACGGGCACAAAACGGCCAGUUUAACAGUUCACUUAACAACUCAGUGCCAUAAUUAACAUAAAAAAAUAAAAAACGCCGCCCGCGCGCUCCCGCCGCGCCCAUCGAUGUCGUGGCCCUCGCCGUCUUCAGUGGCCGCCGGUGUCGUCGUCGUCGCUGACGAGGUCGACAUAGGCUGGCGGUGUCCAGAGGUGGGAUGGCGGCGCGUGGUACACGGGGGCGGCCUGGAAGGCCGGAGGUGCCUGCACCACCUCCUCCCAUGGCAAGGCCUCCCGCUCCGGUGAUCGCGGCGGCGUGGGGCACCAGUUCACGCCCCCACGGCGUCGGGCAUCUCCGGAGCCGUGCACGACCAACUCCAGUCCCGGCCCACCAGAUCCGGGUGGAACGCGGCCACCGGCGCGUCCUGCAUCGGCUCCUCCGCCGACACCAUGUCUAGCUCGGGGAUGGCGACGUCGCUGGCCUCAAAGAGGGCCAUCGUCUCCUCGAGGCCCGACCAUUGGCGCUCAUCAAGCGUGUUCAUGGAGUCCUCCAUGACACGCUGUAUGAGCCGGGCCUCCUCCUCCGCUGUCAUGCGAGGAAGUGGAGGUGGCGACGGAGACGAUGAAGGUGACGGCGUGGGCGUGAGGCCGCGCACCCGCGUACGCCCCGCGCACCUCCCGUCGUGGCCGCCGCAGCCCCGACACCGUGCCGGCGAAGUAGGACGCGCGCCGCGUGUCGUGCUCGUCCUGGAGCCAGGUGUCCUAGAGGCCGAAAUCAGGGGCGUACCUAUCGUCGAAGUAGAGGUCGUCGGGAAGGAGGCGGCGGCGGCGCUCGAUCUCAUCACGACGCGCACGGCCGCUCGUCGGCACCGGCGGGAUCGGGACCCGGUCGGCGAUGAGGUGCCAGUUGUUGAGGAGGUGGACGUCGCUCCACGGGACCGACGUCCUCGUCUCCCAGUAGCGCCGGCACACAUCGACGCUGAGGUACUGCUGGUCGCGCUCGCUGGCGGGCCUAGGGGUGAUGGUGAAGGGGGCCGGCGCGGGGGCUCGACGGGACGAGCGUGGCGGUGACGCGGGCUCCUCCUUCUUCACGGAACCGCGGCGGCGGCCCGAGGAGGAGCCUGCCUUGCGGUCGUGCUUCUCCUUGCGGCCGUAGUUCCGUAGCCCCAUGGCUGCGGCCGGCCGGCGAGUUCGAGGACGGGAGCGGCUAGGGUUUGGGGGUGUCGGCUUUCGAGGGGCAGAGAGGGGCCGAAGUGGGAAGUGUGGACGAGGACCAGUCCACGGGUCCCAUUUAAGAAGGACGACGACAGUUCAAUGGCCGGAUGACAGGUGGGGCCACCCGCGCGUGCGCAUUGAUAUUGGCGGGUGGGAGGUAGGUGGCCGCCUGCCACGCGGCCCCGACGCGGACGAGCGCGCGUCCAUUUGCCGUCCGCCGCGACCCAUACCCGACGCAAGUUUGCGCUCGAAAUGGGUCCGUCCGGACACAAAACGGACAAGGUGGGUCCGGACCGUCGCGCGCUGGGCCACGUGGUUUGUUCAUUUUACCUCAAACGAACGGUCCGGACAGAAUAGGGUCGCGCGCUGGAGCUGGCCUUAACAGUGCACACGUAUCAUCGCCAUGAUUCAUCGCACAUGACAGAAUGACAGGCGCAAAAGUGCAUGCACGCAGCGUGCAGCAGUGUACCGUAAUGUCAUCGGCGAUCUUUAUCGCCGCCGCUACAGUGUAUCUCGCCUCUACUUCUACUGCCUUUUCUCUCAGGUCCUCCUUUCUCCUAUGAUGAGAGAGAGAAAGAUGGGGGAGAUCUCGAGGUAGAGGGAGGCGAGUGGCGACGGAGUGCAAUAUUGCAGCGUAGCUGGAGAUCUACGGCACGUAGGGCUCUUCAUGAGGAAUCCUUAGGGUGGGGAGAAGGCGAUGCCGGCAUGGUCCCGACAAGUACUCCUACUACCACGUCUAGGUGAGUUGGUGCCAAGGCCUAAGGAUUCACGUGCCCCAUACGUCAAAAACCCUGCGGAAUCGCCAGGGUUUGCAGGGGCGUUUAGUGCCGUUUAUUUCAAGGUAUUGAUUCAUCCAUCGGUCGACCAAUCUCCUGUUCAGGUCACUGCGAGGUGGAUCAAAUCAUCCAGUUCAUUGGUGUAAUUACCAUCUGUGUCCAUGCAGGUAGUUCAUUGUUGUAAUUACCAUCUGUGCCGAUGGAGGUAGUACUGCUGCAGAACGCAGUAAGUCGAUCCACAUGUCCCGGCAAGUGCAUACAGGCUUCUGAGUGAUCCAGUCCAGCCGUAAUUAAGCUAGGAGAGUACCUACUUUUUUUUUGAAAGAUCCAACAAUUGCUGGCGUUUCAUUGAUCAUAGCCGAAAGCAGCGGGAAAACAACAAUGGUGAUGAGGAUCCUAGGAUCAAAGUUUUAUGGUUUUGGGGAGUGCCAUGCACAGCCGAAAAACCCUAGUAACAAGAUAGCUAUUANNNNNNNNNNNNNNNNNNNNNNNNNNNNNNNNNNNNNNNNNNNNNNNNNNNNNNNNNNNNNNNNNNNNNNNNNNNNNNNNNNNNNNNNNNNNNNNNNNNNNNNNNNNNNNNNNNNNNNNNNNNNNNNNNNNNNNNNNNNNNNNNNNNNNNNNNNNNNNNNNNNNNNNNNNNNNNNNNNNNNNNNNNNNNNNNNNNNNNNNNNNNNNNNNNNNNNNNNNNNNNNNNNNNNNNNNNNNNNNNNNNNNNNNNNNNNNNNNNNNNNNNNNGACGUUGUCUCGGAUGCGCUUGAUGAUCGCCGGCACACACGGCGGUUUUUGCCUCAAGGUGCUGUUGUUUCUCUCUUGCCAGAUCUCCCAGCAAGCCAGCCAGCACAUCGUUCACACGCCCUUUCGCCAUUGGUGCGGUGUUUGCUCCAGUAUACCUUGCGCGACAGUUGUGGAACUGUCAUGGUGCCAGCUCUCGGCGGGGGUGAGGGCAGAGCAGCCGUGCCACGAUCCCAGCUCGGCCCACACCCGUCCGGUUUCCUGACAGCUCCAGAAGAGAUGGCACGACGACUCCAGGUUACGGACGCAGAGCUGGCAGAAGUAAGCAUUUGGCCAUCCCCGCCGUUGAAGUCUGUCGUUGCACCAGAGCCGGUCCUGGAGAAGCAACCAGGCAAAAAUUUUGAUUUUGCCCGGUGCCCAGGCUUUCCAAAUCAGCCCGUCGAAAUCGGUUGCCCUUCUUCCCUGGAACUGCGUGAGGUAGGCCGACCGGGCAGUGUACUUGCCUGAGGCCGCUCUACUCCACCUCAAAACGUCCGGCACGCCUGGUUGCAGCUAUGCGUCCGUCCCUUGGAGCAAACGAUGAAGGGCAAGGACGUCUGGCAGCAGGUGACGGUUGUUGCCGUGAGCAAGGUCACGGAUCCAUGUGUCAUCCUCAAGGGCCUCCCGCACCGAUCUGUUCUUGCGCCUGGAGUAGCUAAACAGCGUUGGGAACUGCUGCGAGAGGCGGCCCUGGCCAAGCCAUGAAGAAAGCCAGAAGGAUGCCCUGGCUCCGUCGCCGAUCGCCACCCUGGUCGAGGCCGCGAAGAGCGCCUUGUCCGCGCCGUCGCAGGGCAGCUCGGUGCCCACCCAAGGGCGCUCUGGGUGGUGCCAGGCAGCCCAGAGCCAUCGCAGUCGCAACGCCCUGCCAAAGCAUUGAAGAUCGGGGAUGCCCAGGCCACCUUGCUCCGUCGGGGCGCAGACCGCUGGCCAUUUGACUUUGCAGCUGGCGCCUGUGACCUCGUCGUCCUGGCGCCAAAGAAAGCGACGCCUGCACUUGUCGAUUUCUCUGAUGAUCUUCUGCGGGACACGGAGAAUGGUUAGGGCGAAGGUUGGCAUAGCACUCAACACGCAUCGGACAAGGACGCGGCGGCCGGCCAUCGGUAGAAGCUUGCCCUUCCAGCCCGCAAGACUAGCCUUGAUCCUGUCGAGGAUGAACUGCAUGUGCACCAAACGCAGUCGUCCUGUGGAGACCGGCAACCCUAGGCAUUUGAUUGGGAAUGGGGCAAUGGAGCCUGCAAAGCCCUGAAGCACCUCGUCGACGUUGAUGUUCUCGCAACGGAUCAGUGAGACCGUGGAUUUGGCCGGGUUAAUACAGAGUCCCGUUGCCGCGUCGAAAUCGCUGAGGAUGUGCAACAAGGAGUCUACCUCUUCGCGUCUAGGGUUUAUGAAGAUAAUUGCAUCGUCCGCGUAGAGGCUCACACGAAGCGCGAGGUCACGACCAGGUAGACGAUGAAGCAGCUGCUAAUCCACCGCCGCCGUGAUCAGAUGAUGCAGUGGGUCAAUGGCCAGAAUGAAGAGGAACGGGGAGAGCGGGUCUCCCUGGCGUAGUCCAUGGUGAUGAAGAAUGCUUGGGCUGACAACGCCGUUGAGGGAGACCGCCGAAGAGGCCGAGACGAGCAACCUAGCCACCCAGUCCCGCCAGCGCGCACUAAACCCUAGUUGUUGAAGCAGUUCUAGCAGGUAUUCCCAGGAGACGGUGUCGAAAGCUUUGGCUAUGUCUAAUUUUACAAGCAGGCCAGACACUUUGCGGCGAUGGAGGGCCCGGAUGGAAUUCUGCACAAACAGGAAACUGUCGUGUAUGCACUUGGACUUCAUGAAUGCCGUUUGCGCCGGUGAGAUGAUGGAGCCAAUGACUGACGCAAGUCUGAUCGACAGAACCUUGGAGAUGAGCUUGGUUACAGAAUGGAUCAAACUGAUGGGCCUGAAGUGGGUGAUCUCCGUUGCACCAUCCUUUUUUGACAGAAGGACGAUUGUGGCGUUGUUGAUCACCGACAUGUCGCCGCCUGCCAGGUUUUAGAACUGGUGGAAGACGGCCAUGACGUCGGCCUUGAUGAUGGGCCAGCACGAAAGGAAGAAAAUGCCAUUGAACCCAUCAGGCCCCGGGGCCUUCUCUUGCGGGGAUUUGCAGAUCGCCGCCCAAACCUCGUCCUCGGUGAAUGGUUUAUCAAGGCCAGUUGCCGGCAGAGAUGGAAGGUGAAUGGCCCCCCAGUUGAUGGUGCGGCUGCGAGGGAGUUUUGUGCCCAGCGAUGAACGGAAGUGCUCGUGGAUGAUCCGCUCCUUGUCGCCAUGGGAGGUGGCGAUGGAGUCCCUGGUGUGUAGGGCCUGAAUGAAGUUUUUUAGCGCCGCGAGUUGAUCUUUGCCUGGAAGAACGCCAUCUUGGCGUCACCCGCGCAUAGCCAGGUCACGCGCGAGGGCUUUCUCUUGUGCGCCCUCUCGAUGGCGGCGAGCCCCAGCACAUGCAUCUUUAGGUUCUUCCGCAGCUGGAGUUCACCUACUGACAACUGUCUACUUUCCUAAGCUAUGUCGAGGCGUAGCAUGAUCUCGUUUGCGAUAUGCAUCUGAAGCUUCGUCUCACUGAAGAAGCCUUUCGCCCAAAUCUUCAGAUCUCGUGCCACCCGUGAGAGCUUGGUGCUGAUUCUUUUGAAAGUGCAACUGGAGGCUACUAGACGAUCCCAUGCCCUCUACACCAUAAUGUGGAAACGAGGAAAUCUUGGCCAGAAGGACUCAAAGCGGAAGCGGGCCGCGCGGCGAGGGGCCGCCACCUCCGACAGCAACAACGGGCAGUGAUUAGAGCACGAGGUCGAAGCGGCGUGGAGCAGAUAGGCGGGGAACAUGGAUGUCCAUGCCAUGGUACAGAAGAAUUUAUCGAUGCUGACUAAGGUUGGAGACGCGCGCUCGUUGCUCCAUGUAAAUCUUCUGUUCUUACACUUGAUCUCCUUCAGGCCUGCCCGAAAUUUCCCCAUGGUCCUAUGGUUUAUGUUGGUGUUGUUUUUAUCACGUGCUUCGUAGAUCAGGUUGAAGUCGCCGUUGAUGAGCCAGGGGCGUCUGGGGGCGGAGCCGCCCGUGCCAACACUGCCAGAAACACGUCCUUUCUACCCUCAUCGACUGGGCCGUAUAUUGUCGUGAGCCAGAAUGUAGCAGCGCUGGCGAUGAUGGUGAUCCUGGCUGUGAUGGAGAAGCAGCCAACGGCCUGCGAAACCACAUCUACCCGAUUCCUAUCCCAGAAGAUAGCAACACCGCCCCUCGUGCCCACGGCAGGGAGGACGAUGCAGUCGGCAAGCCGCGAUCCUCCAGUUUCCCUAACUAGUGCCCUGGUCCAUUCGUCGAUCUUCGUUUCCUGAAGGCAGAGGAUGGCGAGCCGAUGCGUUUCUGCCGUUUCCAAAACUACUUCCCGCCGUGCCGGCGAGUUCAAACCCCGCACAUUCCAGCACAUUAUUGGGCAGUUUGUGUCACUCAUUGGGAAACGAGAGAUAUCUCCGGCAACUACUACUACUUUGAAGCAAACACGGGUACACCACCAUCGGUCCGGGGGGUCGCCGGCGGCCACCAACAGGCCCCAAAUUCCACCGGCGAACGACUACAUGUCGCUCGCUAAGUUGACGUAAACUAUUACAAUGCAUGAAUGAACCUAACUCAACCCAGCUAUGAGCCUGGGGUCGCCGGAGACAGCUAUCCUUAUGGAUCCCUAACAUGGAGAGGUGGUGGCCUGCGAGGCCUCUCCGUCUGGGCCGUGCAUGCCCGCUACGAUCCUGAGUGUCGUGACGUCGAGGUUGGUGAGCUUCGCGAUGACCUUGAUGUCGGAGUCGGACAGGGGCUCGUCGAAGCGUCGGAUCAGCGCCUCGGCAUCCUUGGCCAUCAUGGUCUCCUUGGGCCCGAGGAUGCCGAGGCCGUGGACGAUGCGGAGCGUGGCCCGCUGGCUGACCGGGACGGCGGACGGGUUCUUCGCCUGAUGGGCACUCUGACGGGAUGGCGCCGCGGCAGGCCUGGAGCGCGAGGGAGUCUUGGCGCGGGUGACGGGCUUGCCGAGCACGGAUGGCGCGGCGUUGACGAAGAGCUGGGCCGCAGCACCCUCCCCGCCGACAUCCGCGAUCUGCAGGUGGCACACCUGGGAGGUUACCGCACCAAGCUGCACAGAGUGGGUGGUGGCCGGCUUGGGGGAGUGACGGGCUAGCAAGAGGGCCGGGCCCAUGUCGAUGCUAUCUUCGGCGCCGCUGCCAGCGCCCUCCUGGUCGUUGAAGCUCAGCGGCAUGGCCGUGGCUGCCGCAGCCACACUGUCGACGGCCGCUGCCCUUGUGUCCACCCUAGGUGGAGGCGGCAGCUCCUUGUCAGCUACGGCGAAGAAGGUGCCCACUGGAUCAUUGACCUGCGCGCUGGCUGACGCCAGAAGCAGGGGCUUGGGGGGGCGCAAGCAGAGGGUUGGAGGGGGCAGCCAGCGCGCGCGAUGAGGACGCAGCACGGGAGCGGCUUGGCCCCGCCCCUCCCCCAGAGCGGCGCCCCCUGUGGUCGUGGUCGGAGCGUCUUUCAUUGUAGGGGCCGCGGUCGCGGCGCGAGGAUGGGGUGCGGCUACGACGGCGCUCAGGAGCGGGGGCGGGGGCGGCCGGCUCCUUGCCGCGGCCACGCCCGAGGAGCGUGUCCUUCCAAGACCUCCUCUGGCCGCCAUCGCCGUCGCCGUCGUGGCCGCGCCGGUGGCCCACCGAAGGCAUGCCCUUGGAGCAAGAGGACGCGACUUGCGCGGGCGGGCACAGACGCGGCCCCAUGUCCAGCGCCGGCCUGCCAUCCUCCACACCGGCCACCCAGCCCCCCGCGUGUGGGAAGCGUGGGUACGGGCGGUCGUCGUCGUCGGAGGACGGGAGGCCACUCUGCCCGGAGUUGGAGGAGCGCGGGGACAGGGGCGCCCAGUCCUCGACCAGGUCAAUGUGCACUAGCACAUCCCAGCGCAGCAGGUUCGGCGGUGGCGCGACGGCCCGGCUAGGGGGCGAGAAGCCGAGCAUCUCCUCCACCCGGCUGGCACCGCGGGCAUGCUUCCAGAGGGUACACUUGGUGGGGAUGUGGUGCAACUGCCACACCCACACCCAGACCGCAAACAGCUUCGUGUCCGUGCGCUCGAACGUGCGGCUGUCGAGGCGGUCGAUGAUGACCGCGUCGCCCAGCGCAUCCUUCGCGCCUUCCAGGGUCCAGAGCUACAUCGGCAGCUUCUCCAUGACGACUCGCACGUGCAGCAUCCAGGUGUCGUGGAUGGCGUGCGUGUCCUCCCUCCAUGGCUCUAGCAGGAAGGAGACGCCAUCCACCACGAUCGAGCCCCUCUGAACGGCGAGGUCCUUGUGGGCCGGCAUGGUGAAGUGGAUGAAGAAGUCUUCUGGGUCAUGGUUGGUGACGCGGAGGAGGUGCGCCGGGAUCUGGAACUCCCGCUCGACGGUGCGGCCGAUGGAGAGAGGGAUCGCCGCGUGGAGCUUGCUCACCGCGGUGACCACCACCGCGUGCUGCUGCAGCAGGAAGAUCUGCUGCUCCAUCUCCGGGGUGGAGGCGAUCACCUUGUGGCUUGUUCUCGGCCGGCGCCCGUGGUCGACGCAGGGGGCGUCCGGCGAGGCCAUCUCCGGUGUAGGAGGGCUGGCCUGGGAGGGGAAAACUAGCCGGUCGUGCACUGGACGAGCCUGCAGCCCGUCCCUCUCCUUGAACCUCCGGUUUUGGGGGCACUCCUUGCCAAUGUGGCCCGGGCGCUUGCAGAUGAUGCAGUGAAGGGGGUCGUGGCAGUCUAUGCGGCGGUGGUGCGGGCUGAGGCAGCGGAAGCAGAGGCCUCUGAACUUGCUUAAGAAGGCGUCGCGGCCUGGCGCAUGCGGACGUCGCCCGAAUCCAGAACCGCGGCGGUGCCCCGAGUGGACCGGCGGGGAUUUACUUGCCUUCUUGCUCCUGCGGGACUGGUACAUCGUCCAUCCACCAUCAAUGGCGGUCGUCCUGGAAGGGGGGGGGAGGGGAAGGCACAAUCACAAUGGAUCGGAGACGUUGCUGCCCAGCCGGGGGUGGCAGGUCCAGAUUCAUCGGUCCGGACGGCAGGGCGCCCUCGAGGUCGGCGCUCCGCUGCAGGAUUUGCGGAGGCGUCCCCCACUCUAGCGCGGCCGGAGAACACGGAGAUGUAGGAGCGGAGGAAGAUCCUGGGGAUCCACGGCCUCCCCCUGAGCCAGGGCAUUGAAGGCGAGCCGGUGGGGAGGCGAGAGAGCGGGGCGGAUCCAUCGGCGGCAUGGGAUGCCCCGUCAUUUCAGGCGGGGCGGCACGGAGGGAGGGGUUGGGGGCGGUGGCCGCCGCGGCCGGAGUGGCCAGCGGCGCGGGGCGGGGCGCGGAGAGCACUCCCUCUCUCGCUCACUCCGAUUCUCCCUCAUAGUUCUCGUGAUCGAAACAGGGGGUUUGGAUCACGCUCCCAAGCGUAAGACCGUCUGAGGCCGACCUCGUACCUACUUUUUGGCUGAAACCACGCUCUGCGAACCUAGUAUUAUUACUUUGAUACCUGGUACUUGCGUAUAAAUGAUAAACUAAUUUUGCAGAUUAGUUAAAGGGAGGAGUAGCAUAUAGUACUAUGUGUACGUCUUAAGCACCAAUGCUCCUUUGGGGGUUCAAAUAUAAUAGGACCCAUUUUCUUUAGUUGGAAAGAGAGGUCAGCUUACUGGCGGUACCGACUUUGUUUGAAUGCAGUAAUGUGCAUGCUCGUGAAGAAAUACAUAAAAAUUCGUGGCGUUAUUUCUAUUUUUAAGCAGUUACUCCCUCCAUCCCAUAAUAUACUAGUGUCAAAAACGUUUUAUAUUAUAUGACGGAGUAAUAGAUUCAAAUUAGAGAAAUUGCUUUUGGGAUACACAUCGCCCAUGAAUCCACCUACAGAAAUUGGAUUCACGAUUUGCGUGGCACCCCCUCGAUCACCUCUAUCGCUGAUCUGUUCAAGCUAUGGAACGUCCUGUUAAACUUUGGGGUGUCGUUCUGUUGACGACUUACGAGUAAUGGUCAGUUCUCGGCAAGCUCGGCUCACAAUUCGUUCUUCUUGGGGAAGGAGUUUUCGCCGGGCGUGAUGAUAAUGAUAUAGAUCUAGGAUAGGGUCAUAGGCCUGACCUAUACGCCCUACCCAAGGUCACUACCCUAGAAGCAAAGACAUCCAAGACACAACAUGGAGUACCAAUUGAAGACGUCGAGUGCAAUCCACUCGACCAGCCACCUCACUCGGGUACCCCUCCCUCUUAAUAUCAUUCGACCAUACAGGAAAUCACUCGACCUAUCGAAGACCAGGAGUCGACCAGAAUAGCAACGGUCAGGUGUCCACUCCGUAGUCCUUAAGAUCAUUAAAAGCAUUUUAUGGCUGGCAUUAUCAGUAAGGCCCCAUCUUUAUGUACAUUGAACUCUUGCUAACGGGGGAUGGCUGGGGUCCUGGCGCACUCUAUAUAUAAGCCACCCCCUCCUCUGGCACAAGGGUCCGCACCCCCUGUAACACACACUCUCAUAAUCCAGUCGACCGCCUCAGGGCACCGAGACGUAGGCCUUUUACCUCCUCCGAGAGGGGCCUGAACUCGUAAACACUUGCGUACAAUCUCACCGUAGCUAGGACCUUGCCUCCUCAUUGGUACCCCUAUACUUACUGUCAGACUUAGAACCACGACAGUUGGCGCCCACCAUGGGGCAAAGCGUCUUAGCAACUUCCGGCGAGGUUGCAUUUUCUUCGAUCUUCAUCAGCAUGGUUUCCGGCGGCGGUUUGGUUAUGGGCCGCGAGUUCCGACUCGGCGUGCUCACUUUCGUCGCCGACGACUCCGCCUAGCUCCAGGAGGCCCCCCUUGAUGUCGAGGCUCGCCCGGCUCGUGGCUCGUCGCACUUCCGUGCGAGUUCCUGCGGCGUCCUCCUUCGGCAGCCGUCUUCCCUGUACUAGUCGGUCAUCACGUCGUCGUCUCACUCUACUGGGCCGCCGUAAGCGGUCUGGGCGUUCGUGAAUCCAGCGGUGUGUGAGACACACGGCGGCUCGUCAGACGUUCACCCACCAAGUCGCAGCGAUUGAGCCCGACGUAUUUCGCGGAUCGGUCGACCUGUCGACUGAUUUCGCGGAUACCUUUUCCGAGAGCGGGAGUUGUGACCUCGUGGCGGAGGUCCUCAUGGUCGACUCCCAUCGCGGUCCUCCUAGAUUUCAUCGCAGCAGCGACGGCGGGAGAAGCGACGGCCCAUCAUUCAACCAUGAAGAGUAUCAACCCCAAUCUCUCAGCUCGCAGCAGAGGGAGGAGCUGCAUCGCCACAACAUGGAGGCUCUCCAGACCCCCAUCAUAGGGGAAGCCGCUGGGGCCCGAGCCUUGGAGGCAGUGCGCCUGGCCACUCUGGCUGAGCGCACUCCUCUGGAGAAUCUCCAACAUUCUCUCGACGAGCGUGCUCGUCGACUGAUCCCCGAGUCUAGUUGACGUCCACGGCAAUUGUUUCCAUCGGAAACUUAGGUAUUCCGCACACCGAUUCAGAAUCUUGGAGCCGCUGCGUGUAUUGCGGAGUCCAUUCAUCCGUACCAUUUGGAGGCUGGAAGAGGCUUGGAACAUAUCAGAACGCUGCUCCGAGCAGCAGGAGACCAGAACUCUGCUGUGUCCGAGUCGCAGAAUAGAAUCCACAACAGAUCAGUAAGAGCAGACACCGUUUAGUCGCCACACAGUCCCAGUUCGCCUUUGAGGCAUGGAGGUCGUGAUCACCGCCCGCAUCGGCGGAAUAGCUCAUGGAGAAUAUGAUCGUGAGUACGCCCGCGACAACCACCGUCGGGCGCCUUCGCCCCUUUCCAGGGACAGGUCAUACGCGCCCCGACGAUAUGACGACAGGUGUCCGUAUGGGAAUGACCGCAGAGUUCCAGUCGACCCCAGAGAGCCCGUCUUCGACGCAAGGUCCGUCCUUGUGGAGGGUUUGAUCGACUGGAACAAAGCAUACAGAGAAGGGCUGGAUCGAGACAGACCCAGUGGAAGCAGAGUCCACGUUUCCGACCCAGAAUGUUUCGAAAGAGCCAUCAGAGCCGCUGAGAUUCCUCAUAACUUCAGACUGGCAACUGGCGUCAGUAAGUUCAUAGGAGAGGCGAAGCCCGAUACUUGGCUUGAAGACUACCGAGUGGCUGUGCACAUUGGGGGCGACAGCGAUGAGGUGGCCAUGAAGCACCUUCCUCUGAUGCUUGAAGGUUCUGCCAGGGCUUGGCUGAAUUAGUUGGCCCCUGGGAGCAUUUUGAGUUGGGAUGAGUUAGCCCGAGUGUUCACUAGAAUGUUUGAGGGCACCUGCAAGAGACCUGCUAGUCUACGGGAGUUGCAACAUUGCAUGCAGAAACCGAAUGAAACCUUGAGAGACUAUAUCCAGAGAUGGAUCACUCUGCACCACAUAGUGGAGAAUGUGUCAGAUCACCAAGCAGUCUAUGCCUUCAAGGAAGGCAUUCGCUACAGAGAGCUCAACCUAAAGUUCGGUCAGACUGGAGAUAUGUCUUUGACUCGGAUAGUGGAGAUUGCCUAACGGCGAAGAGGAGGCCCGACGUAGGAGUGGCAAGCACAAAACAGGCGCCUAGGACACCGACGAUGAAAUUCCAAUCGGAAGCAGAAGCGAAAGGCUGAGGCAGCAGGUCCUGCCGAGGCAACAAUGUUGAGUCAAGGAAAGUUCAAAGGGAAACCCAAAGGGCCUUGGAUCCCUAAGAAAGUGAAGGACCAGGAAGGAAAUGAUGUGAUGGAUUUGCCGUGUCAUAUUCACACCAAGAAAGAUGAGGAGGGGAACCUGAUUCUCCCCAAGCAUACCACGGGACAAUGUCGACUCCGAAUCCAGAACUUUCAAGAGAGUAACCCCAGUGAUAAGGACAAAGAGUCUGAGAAGGAAGAAGAAGAUAAGGAUGAUGAUGGUGGUUACCCCAAUGUCAAUGCCACCUUGGUGAUUUUUGCUAAUAUCGAGUGCAAAAGUCGACUGAAGGUCAUUAACAGAGAGGUAAACAUGGUUGCUCCGGCAACACCAAAGUAUUUGAAGUGGUCACAAACCCCCAUUACAUUCGACCAAUCCGACCACCCGGAACGCGUAGCUACCCCUGGGCGGCAAGUGCUGGUGGUCGACCCAGUCGUGGGAGGCACCCGACUGACCAAGGUUCUGAUGGAUGGUGGCAGUGGUCUGAAUAUUCUGUAUGCUGAGGCCCUCAAAGGAAUGGGCAUUCCGAUGUCCAAACUCAGCGAGAGCAACAUGCGGUUCCAUGGAAUCAUCCCAGGAAAGAAAGCCGAAUCACUCAGCCAGAUCACUCUUGACGUGGUUUUCAGCGAUGAGAAGAAUUUCCGCAAGGAGAAGUUGAUGUUUGAGGUUGUGGAUUUCCAGAGUGCAUAUCAUGCCAUUCUGGGCAGACCUGCUUAUGCUAGCUUUAUGGCUCGACCGUGCUAUGUAUGUCUCAUGAUGAAGAUGUCUGGCCGCAAAGGCGUAAUAACGGUUUCCAGUAACCGUCAAUGAGCAGAAGAUUGUCUUCAAGAUGCGGCAAAGAUAGCAGAUGAGCAGAUGGCAGCAGUAGAGUUUCAAGAGUACCAGAAGACUGCAGAUCCGAGUGAUUUGCUGCAUGCUAAGAGGCCUGCCUUGGAAUCCACAUUUCAGUUGGCCGGCGAGACCAAGCCAGUCCACAUUCACCCGACCGACCCCAAUGCUGCUCCGACCCAUAUCUCGAUGACACUCGACGGCAAAUAGGAAGAAGCGCUCAUCCGGUUCCUUCAUGAGAACUGGUACGUCUUUGCAUGGAAGCCAUCUGACAUGUCAGGUGUACGCAGGGGACUGGCUGAGCACCGUUUGCGAGUCAACCCAAAAGUAAAACCUGUUAAGGAGCAUCUCCGUUGUUCCACCACGAAGAAGAGAAAGGCCAUUGGCGAGGAGGUGGCUCGGCUCCUGGCUGCUGAGUUCAUCCACGAGAUAUACCACUCUGAGUGGCUCACCAAUGUUGUUAUGGUUCCCAAGAAAGACAAAUCACUCUGAAUGUGUAUUGACUUCAAGCACAUCAAUCGGGCCUGCCCCAAAGAUCAUUUUCCUCUGCCCCGCAUCAACCAGAUAGUUGACUCAACUGCGGGAUGUGAGCGAUUGUCCUUCCUGGACGCUUAUUCCGGGUACCAUCAGAUCCGACUGUAUGGACCCGAUGAGAUAAAGACGGCUUUCAUCACCCCGUUCGGGUGUUUUUGCUAUGUUACUAUGCCCUUUGGCCUCAAGAAUGCUGGUGCCACAUUCAUGCGCAUGAUUCAGAAGUGCCUGCUCACUCAAAUCAGUCAGAAUGUGGAAGCAUACAUGGAUUACAUAGUGGUUACGUCACGCAAAGGUUCUGACCUGCUGGCUGACCUUGCUGAAUCCUUUACCAACCUAAGAAGGUAUGAUAUCAAGCUCAAUCCAUCAAAAUGCACAUUCGGAGUCCCAGGCGGAAAGUUACUUAGUUUUCUCAUUUCAAAAUGAGGGAUCGACGCAAAUCCAGAGAAGAUUGGCACAAUCCUCCGAAUGAAACGCCCCGUGCGUGUGCAUGAUGUUUAGAAGCUUACUGGUUGUUUGGUUGCAUUGAGUCGAUUCAUCUCAUGCCUCGGUGAAAAGGCACUGCCUCUUUACCGACUGAUGAAGAAGUCUGACAAAUUCGAGUGGAAUGACGAAGCUAAAGCAGCGUUUCAGGAGCUCAAAGCCCUGCUUUCCACCCAACCGGUGCUUGUUGCUCCGGUUAGCAAGGAGCCCCUACUGCUUUACAUCGCAGCCACGGGACGAGUUGUUAGCAUAGUGCUCACAGUCGAGCGAGAAGAAGAGGGCAAAGCUUUCAAAAUUCAGCGCCCUGUGUAUUAUAUUUCAGAAGUUUUAACCCCGUCCAAGCAGAGAUAUCCUCACUAUCAGAAGCUUGUUUAUGGGAUUUACCUGACCACUAAGAAGGUUGCACACUAUUUCUCUGAUCACUCAAUCUCAGUCAUUAGCGACGCUCCAUUGUCAGAGAUUCUGAAUAACAGAGAUGCAACCCGUCGAGUGGCAAAAUGGGCGAUUGAACUUCUUCCUUUAGAUAUCAAGUUUGAGGCAAAGAAGGCCAUUAAGUCUCAAGCAAUUGCAGAUUUCCUCGCAGAGUGGACAGAACAACAACAGCCGACUCAGAUUCAGUCGGAACAUUGGACCAUGUUCUUUGAUGGAUCCAAGAUGUUGAAUGGCUCAGGUGCAGGAGUGGUCUUAGUGUCCCCACGAGGAGACAAGCUCAGUUAUGUCCUCCAGAUUCACUUUGAUUCUUCAAACAAUGAAGCUGAGUAUGAGGCACUAUUGUAUGGGUUGCGUAUGGCCAUUUCACUCGGCGUCCGACGCUUGAUGGUAUAUGGCGACUCAGACUUAGUGGUUAACCAAGUAAUGAAGGAAUGGGACGUCAGGAGUCCCGCAAUGACCGGUUAUUGCAACACAGUGAGAUAGCUAGAGCAGAAGUUUGAGGGCUUAGAGCUCCACCACAUACCAUGAAUCAAGAAUCAAGCUGCUGACGAUCUGGCGAAGAUAGGUUCCACUCGGAAGCCUAUCCCCAGCAAUGCGUUCUUGGAGCAUCUCCAUACCCCAUCUGUACAAGAAGAUCCCUUCAAGGAAGAGCCCCCUCAAUCGAUAAGUUCAACUGUGAGAUCGAGGUUCCAGCCGUGGUCGAAUUGAUCAUGGAAGUCUUGGUGCUUACACCUGACUGGACAACACCAUACAUUGCAUACAUUCUCAAAAAGGAGCUACCAGGGGAUGAAGAUGAUGCCCGUCAGAUAGUCCGUCGAUCGAAACCUUUCACCGUGAUGAAAGGACAGCUUUAGAGAGAAAGUGUCACAGGAGUGGCUCAACGCUGCAUCACCCUGGAAGAAGGUCGAAUGAUCCUGAACGAUAUCCACUCGGGGACCUGUGGUCACCAUGCGUCCUCUCGGACCAUCGUGGCCAAAGCAUAUCGAGCGGGAUUCUAUUGGCCUCGAGCAAAUGAGAUGGCGAAAGAUAUAGUUGACAAGUGCGCAAGUUGCCAGUUCUACUCCAACAUGUCCCACAAGCCUGCAUCUGCCUUGAAGACUAUUCCACUCGUCUGGCUGUUUGCAGUCUAGGAAUUGGAUAUGGUUGGGCGCUUCAAGACUGGUGCAAGUGGUUUCACCCAUUUACUCGUAGCAGUCGACAAGUUCACCAAGUGGAUCGAAGCCAAGCCCAUCAAAAACCUUGGAGCAGGCACUGUCGUUAGUUUGAUCAAGGAGUUGAUAUUCAGAUAUGGAGUUCCUCACAACAUUACCAUAGAUAACGACUCCAACUUUGAUUUUGAUGAGUUCAAGGCGUUCUGCACAUCCCAAGGCACUCAGGUCAACUAUGCGCCCGUCGCACACCCGCAGUCGAAUGGACAGGCAGAAAGGGUGAAUGGUUUAAUCCUUCAAGGGUUAAAGCCUCGAGUGAUGCGUGACCUUAAGUAUACUGCUGGAGCUUGGGUGAUUGAAUUGCCAUUGGUCCUAUGGGGGCCGAGAAAAACGUCCAACCGGUCGAUUGAUCGAACCCCUUUCUUCCCAGUGUACGGUGCUGAGGUUGUGCUUCCGAGUGACUUGCUGCACAAUGCUCCCCGAGUGGAACUGUUCUCAGAAGCUGAAGCAAAGCAAGCACGUGAAGACGCAGUCGAUCUCUUGGAGGAAGAGCGUGAGAUGGCUUUGGUUCGGUCGACCAUGUAUCAGCAAGAUCUACCUCGAUUCCACGCUCGCAAUGUCAGAGGUUGAGCAUUUCAGGAAGGAGACCUUGUGCUCCGAGUGGAUCAGAAACGACCUCACAAGCUCGCUCCGGCCUGGGAAGGUCCCUUCAUCAUCACCAAGGUGCUUCACAAUGGAGCGUACCACAUCUACAAUGUAGCCAAGAAAAUGGACGAGCCACGCGCAUGAUACGCAGAGCUGCUUCGUCCUUUCUAUACCUAAAAUCACUCGACCCGACGAGUUGUAAUAAAAGCACUUCAGUUUGUUUUCAAAAGAAAAGAUUUUUACAGUAUCUUAAUGACUGGUUCCCCGUAAUCACUUGUGUCCAAAUCCCCCAGUGGGUGGCUUAGCCACGAACCUGAUUCGCCUAAGUUAAAAACAUCCCGAGGGGAGAGCAAUCCUCCCACUCGGGGGCUUAUCUGCGGCCCCGUAAGUUAAAAAAACACCCCGAGUGGAGAGCACUCCUCCCACUCGGGGGCUUAGCCGCGACCCUGAAAUCGCCUAAGUUAAAAACAUUCCGAGUGGAGAGCAAUCCUCCCACUCGGGGGCUUUGCUGCGACCCCAUACUCGCCUAAGUUAAAAAACAUUCCGAGUGGAGAGCAAUCCUCCCACUCGAAGGCUUAGCUGCGACCCCGAAAUCGCCUAAGUUAAAAACAUUCCAAGUGGAGAGCAAUCCUCCCACUCGGAGGNNNNNNNNNNNNNNNNNNNNNNNNNNNNNNNNNNNNNNNNNNNNNNNNNNNNNNNNNNNNNNNNNNNNNNNNNNNNNNNNNNNNNNNNNNNNNNNNNNNNNNNNNNNNNNNNNNNNNNNNNNNNNNNNNNNNNNNNNNNNNNNNNNNNNNNNNNNNNNNNNNNNNNNNNNNNNNNNNNNNNNNNNNNNNNNNNNNNNNNNNNNNNNNNNNNNNNNNNNNNNNNNNNNNNNNNNNNNNNNNNNNNNNNNNNNNNNNNNNNNNNNNNNNNNNNNNNNNNNNNNNNNNNNNNNNNNNNNNNNNNNNNNNNNNNNNNAAAAUAUCCGAGUGGAGAGCAAUCCUCCCACUCGUGGGCUUAUCUGCGACCCCGAAAUCGCCUAAGUUAAAAACAUUCUGAGUGAAGAGCAAUCCUCCCACUCGGGGGCUUAGCUACGACUCCGUACUCGCCUAUGUUAAAAAACAUUUUGGGUGGAGAGCAAUCCUCCCACUCGGAAACUUAGCUGCGACCCUGUUCUCGCCUAAGUUAAAAACAUUUUGAGUGGAGAGCAAUCCUCCCACUCAGGGGCUUAGCUGCGACCCCGUACUCGCCUAGGUCACAAAUAUUCUUUGAGCUACGCCACAAAUACAAUGUGUGCUCUAUCCUUAUCCGCAAGGACGACGAGGUGUCGAUUGAACACCACAUCUGAGCUGCAUCUCAAGCACAAUGAGUGAUCCCGAUCGGCAAGGACGACGAGGUGUCGACUGAACACCACAUCUGAGCUGCAUCACAAGUACAAUGAGUGAUCCCGAUCCGCAAGGACGGCGAGGCGUCGACUGAACACCACGUUCGAGCUGCGUCACAAGUACAAUGUACCAUCCCGAUCCGCUAGGAUGGUGAGGUGUUGAUUGAACACCGCGUCUGAGCUGCAUCACAAGUACAAUUUACCAUCCCGAUCUACAAGGACGAUGAGGUGUCGACCGAACACCAUGUCUGAGCUACGUCACAAGUACGAUGUACAAUUCACUCGACAAAAGGUGAAAAGAUCAAGUUCACACAGAAUCGAAAGACAGUCAGAAACAGUUCAAAACCAAAACAAAAGCCAUGAUAUUCAAGAAAAUUCAAGUUCAAAUAAAUCCUGCAAAAGUUCAGGACCGCGGCAGGCAGAAGUACUCAGACAUCAAGCCUGAAAGAGUUUAACGGUUACAUAAUCACUCAGCAUUCCGAGGCAAAUAAAAGUGGGGCAUAAUGUUUUGUUCGCUCGUCAGGAGAAGGACUUGCUGGAUCGCAGAAACUGCCAAGGUCAAUGCUAUCUGCGAUGCGAGUGGCGACAUCAAGGAAAGUGUCCAUGAAGGACUGGAAACUGUGCUUUUUGGUGUUUACAACCUUGAGUUCCGCCAGCUUGUCUUCUCUUACAUCCUUGCAGUGCACUUGGACCAAUGACAUGGAGACGUCAGCGCCACAGCGAGCAGAUGAUUUCUUACAUUCUUGCACUCGGUCAGGUAUUUGAUUCAGUCGAGUCAUUAGAGACUCAAGAUCCUGUGAGAGUUCUGCCUGAGGCCAGAGUUCAAAAUCAACCCGCGUCAUCGCCGCCUUCAGUCGGGCAAGAUAAUCAACAAUGCUGUCCAUGCGUGACUCGAACCACAACACAUUCAUUGCAAUGUCAUCUUUGAUAGGACAAUUUAUGGGGUCGAGACCCGUCUCGACCCGCCCGGUUUCUGCUUCAAAGUCUUGACAAAGUUCUGCACAGUCUAAAAAACAGUGAGUCGAUAGUUUGACAAGACAUGUCAGUCGAUGUCAACAAAUCAGUCGAACAAGAAUACCUUCAAGCUUCAAGACCAAUUUCACAGUAAGCUGCCCCAUAUAAGACUCUAAUUUGCCCUUCUUGGCCUUGAGGCUUCCAAUUUCGUUGGUCAAGCUGUCCUUGUCUUUCUUCAGUUGCUCGACCUCCCGAUUGACUUCAGAGACGAUGGUCUUCAACUUGGAGUUCUCCUCUUCCAACUUGCCGACUGAAGCCAACUUCUUGUCUGCAAGCGCUGUUUUCUCUCGCGCCUCCUUCUGGGCUGUAGCAAGAUCCCGAUCCUUCUUCUCCAGAGCCUGCUUCAUUUUCUCUAAAGAAAUUACAUUCUUCAGACGAGCUUGAAGUUGACAGUUUUCACUACGCACAUUUGUUCGAAUGAAAUCACUCGGUUCAAAGAGACUAAAAAAUGGGGAAGAGCGAGUCACAAGGAGGACAGUCGACGCGGUUACCUCCCAUGAUAGUUGCUUCGUCCUGAGCAUUCUUGAGGUUCUUCUUGGCCAGUUCCAGAUAAAGGUUGAGGCUGAUUUGCUUCUUAUUCAGUUCAGAAAGUUGAGCCCCAAGAUCACAAGACCUCUGCAGUCAGCAAAUAAGAUAUGUCAGUCGACAGAAACAAAAGUCAACCACAGUGAAAGUUGUUCUAAGACUACCGCUGAAUCAAACAUUCAACAGUAGUCUCGGGGACUACACCCAGUGGGUGCACUUAGCGUGCCCCCACUUGUUUCGGUUUUACACUCAGCAUGGUCUGCCCCGCAUGAGUAAAAAAAAGAAAGACCCCAGCCGACUACUAACAGUCGUCCACGGUCUCGGGGACUACACCUAGUGGGUGCACUCUGCGUGCCCCCACUGGUUCGGAAAAACACUCGACUCAGCCUAGUCGCCUCAAGUGGAAGAACUAUACAGCUCUAAGACAGAAACACCCCAGUGGGUGAUUGGAUGUGAAAAACAGACCCAUGAUAGAUGCACAUAAUGGGUUCCAAAACGCUCAUCCAAGAGCACCAUAUGGACAGCGAAGCAACAAUGGCAACUAUCAUUAUUCAAGAGACCAGUCAGGAAUCAACUAACCUUGACGUUGGUUUGCAGAGCGGUGCUGGCAUUAUAAGCUACCAGACUGGCCUCAUGCACCACCUUCAUCUGCUCCAUCACGAGAUUUACCUGGAGAAGGGCCUCCCUGGCGGCAAUCGGUGAGUCAUAUGGAGUCUGGUAUGCGGUAAAGAGCGAUGAGGGCAAUGCAGUCCGAGCAGCCACAGGGUCAGAUGCAUGGAGUUGUACUGGAGCGGCAGAGGUCUGAGCAGUCGACCCUGAUGGACAGUCAGUCGACAGCGGAUUGGCAAAGGUAACAUUGGUCCAAGCCGGAUCUCCAGACCGCUGGACCAUUGUCUCAAGCACCGGUGUCGACUGAGGGACCUGACCCUCGGGCGCUUUCCCGCUUGACGCCCUGCCCUCCUCCUCCUCUCUCUCUCUCAGAGGCACUACUUCUUCAUCAUCCGGAAGCUCAAUAACGUCCCGUGGAGCUGCAAAAAAAAGCAACCUCAAAAGUUCAAUCGGCUAACAAUUCAAUCGAUAGAAUAAAUCCAAGUCGAAUGGAGCAUACUAGCUUUGGAGGUGGCCGCGUCAUUGGUUUCAUCGUCAACUGGGGCCUUGUCAACGUCCAUAUCAGUCUCGGCUGAGGCUGGUCUGGAAAAGUUUAUAAUCCAUUCGGUCAGAACAGAAGUAUUAGUCGGUGGACAAAAAAGCAGAAAGAAAGAACACUCACCCAGAGGCAACAGGGACGUCCAUCUUGAUCUUGGGCAAAGUCUCUAAGCCUUUGAGGAGACGACCUUGGGCUGCUUGGCGACCUUCUCCGUCAGCUCUGGAGUCGAAGUCCGAGAGCACUUUUAUGCUUGAGUGCUUGGAGCCACGGUCUUGCCACGCCCCCCCGCUGGAUCAUGGAGUAGCUUGGAUCGACGCUUCGUGCGAGGUGGUGAGUUGACUAUCUUGUCGUCGUCCGACUCAUAACUUUCCUCCUGGUCCUCAUCUUCUGGAGAUUGCCAAUCGCCGCUUUCCUCCACGCUGUCCUCUCCCUCCUGGUCUUGCUCCAGAGCUUGUUCACCAUUGGGCAUCGAGUACAUCUCAGUGUAAACCUACAAGACAAGAAGUCAAGUAAACAUUAGUCAGAUUUGAAGACAGUCGCAAAAUGUAUCGAAAUACAGUCGGUAGAAGAGACCAAACCUUAUCUGGCUGGUUGCUGUCGCUGAAUGGGUCGAUUCUCCUGGCUCCACUGGGGUUGUCCUUGUUUCCUGUAAUAAUCUUUAGCCAUAGGGCCACUUUCUUGGCCGAAACCUCCUCUGGAUGAACCCGAGCGGUGUCGUUGGCUCUAGAGUACAUCCACAUCGAGUGAUCACAAGCCUGGAGCGGCUGGAUGCGUCGACCGAGAAACACCUCCAACAAGUACAUGCUAGUGACACCUUGAUUGAUCAACUGGACCACUCUAUCGACCAACAUGUUCAUUUCCACCCUCUCUGCAGCGGUCACUUUCAGUGAAGAAGGUUGCUAGGCAUGAUCUAAAGAAAAAGGGGGAAUUCUAGUUUACUGACCUGGAGUCGCAAUGUCCUGGCAGUAGAACCAGGUCGACUGCUAGCCCCCGACCGACUCAGGAAGUGUCAUAGAAGGGAAGGAACUCCUUUUCCUCCUCUAGAUACCCAAACCCCCACAUAUUUGGAUAAUGUGCAUUCACUCGUCACUCGAAUUCGCUUUCUUCACUGACUGGGAGCGGAUUGUGAAGAUGUGUUUGAAAAGACCCCAGUGCGGUCGACAACCCAGGAAGUUUUUGCACAUGGACACAGAUGCAGCAAGGCACGUAAUGGUGUUGGGAGAGAAGUGAUGGAGUUGGGCUCCGAAAAAGUUCAAGAAACCCCGGAAAAAAGGGUGCGGGGGAAGGGAGAAACCGCGGUUGACAUGGGUGGCGAGCAGAACGCACUCACCUGGUCGCGGCUGAGGUUCCUUCUCCCCCUCCGGCAGCAUUGCAGCCCCGUCGGCGAUCUGUCCGGACUCGGCCAGCUCCUCCAAAUCUUUUGGUCGGAGCAAAGAUCAGAUCCAAUCUCCCUAGAUCCAACCCCGCGGUAGCGCUGACCACGAUGACGACCCCCGAUUCGUCUUCUUGCCUUUCGUCGCCCCCGUUGCCUUCUUCGCACGUUCCAGCACCACCGUCUUGUCCUUCACCAUGGUGGCGGGGCGGCGGCGUCGAGAGCGGAGGAGCAAGAUGUGGUGGAGAAGCGGAGGAGAAAGAAGAAUAAUGGACGCACACAGUGCAGACGCCUCGGCCCCGUUGCCUUUUAAGGACCCACUUCCGAGUGACUGACGCGUGGGCCCGGGCAAUCCUAUCAAAUCCCGCAACAGUCACGCGCUGGGUACAUGGCGAAAAAGGUGGCGCAGGGAUCGAGGUGCUCCUAUCUGUCCAUCCCGCUUACUACGGCAUUGCUCCGCCUCGCAUGCUUCCCCGAAAUUUCGAAUCCCGUGAGAUCCGGGAUACGCCGUAACCAAUCGCGCCAAAGAUUUCGCGUCAAAAAAUAACACUCGAUGAGUGACGGUAUAAAUCCACUCGGCAACUUCUGAAUCGAUCAAGGCGACUGAAACGAAGCCGAAGUUCCAACAUGGGCCUCCCGUCGAAAAUGAGUACUUGUGAAGCACAAGAGUUGAGGCAAGAUCAACUUCAACCUUCUUUUCACUCAGACCUCAAUCCAUUCGGGCGCUAAUGAUGAUGAUGAUAUAGAUCUAGAGUAGGGUCAUAGGCCUGACCUAUAUGCCCUACCCAAGGUCACUACCCUAGAAGCAAAGACAUCCAAGACACAGCAGGGAGUACCAAUUGAAGACGUCGAGUGCAAUCCACUCGACCAACCACCUCACUCGGGUACCCCUCCCUCUUAAUAUCAUUCGACCAUACAAGAAAUCACUCGACCUAUCGAAGACCAGGAGUUGCCAGAAUAGCAACGGCCAGGCGUUCACUCCAUAGUCUUUAAGAUCAUUAAAAGCAAUUUAUGGCUGGCGUUCUCAGUAAUGCCCCGUCUUUAUGUACAUUGAACUCUUGGUAACAGGGGAUGGCUGGGGUCUUGGCGCACUCUAUAUAAGCCACCAGCCUCCUCUGGCAUAAGGGUUCGCACCCCUAUAACACACACUAUCAUAAUCCAGUCAACCACCUCAGGGCACCAAGACGUAGGGCUUUUACCUCCUUAGAGAGGGGCCUGAACUCGUAAACACUUGCGUACAAUCUCACCGUAGCUAGGACCUUGCCUCCUGAUUGGUACCCCUAUACUUACUGUUAGACUUAGAACCACGACAUGUGGCAGAAUGCUGGGACUGUUGGGCAGAUCAAAAUAUGUGCUUGGCUUGCCCAACAUUUGGGUAACAGAUGUGACUAGAGGGAUGCACGCGCUUGGGCCGCGCCGUUUUUCUGCCGGUUAGUAUUUUCUUUGGCCCAUGAUUGAUACUGUACUAUUAGCUAGAAGAUUUGCGUAAAGCUCCAAGGCCUAAGAUUAGUACCGGAGUUUAGUAGAUGCUGGCGCGUCCAGCCCAUCAUGUCGGAUCUAAUUCAUCCCUAACCACUUUCUCUACUCCUUUUCUCUUUUUUCCUCUCGGAUUUUGGUCGGCACAUGUCCGUAGGCACCAACAAAAACCGUUCACGGAUAUAUAAGGGGUCAAAUUAGUGUAUGUUUUGUACUUAUCAGAUGGAAUAGAUACAUCAAGUUGUCGAGCCAUCUACGAGAGAUUAGUAAAGAACAACAUAGAACCAUUGACCAAAAUAGCAGUAAUACCAUCGAAAGCUGAGUGGUGAAUGAAAUUUGAUGAUUGAUUCUUUUAAACCCCUUAGACUACCAUCCUUAUCUGUCGACGGCAGAUACCCCUAGGUUAGGGUCUCUUACAAAUUGCCCAACACACGAAGAAAUCCCUUAACGAUGUCCGGACAACUCACAACACCUAUCUUGUCAACAUCAGAUCACAUUUGCUCCACUCCCUCACGCACAACCCACCGUCAUUCCUCUCGCUGCUACUGAUUCUGUGAUCCCAUCCCGCACACCACGUGCAUGGUCGUAAGGGAGAGCAGGCCUCUCAAACCCGCCCAUUCUGAUCCCGCAGUGGGUUAAGGGGCAACUAGCUUUUUGGGCAGCAUCCCAGGUGCGAGUAAUCGUUGUUAUUCCUGAACUUCGACUACAUCCUCAACCUCUUUAACAUCUCUAUGGCUAAAAACUCUGAAAUCCAGAAGAAGGUUGCUAAGGAUGUUGCUCUUGUCGGUGUGGCUUUGACCUAGCGAACUGGAGGGUAUAAUUUUGUUGGUGCAAUAGUUUGCCCACUUGUGUUUUGGAGAUUGUUGUCAGAAACAGGCAUGCACUCAUUUGUUUGCUAAUGCACAUAAGGGAUGGUCCAUGCAAGUUUGAGGAGAAUGCUAUGCUUCGUAUUGAGGUUUGAAGAACUUCACUGAAGAUUAUCUGCGUGGCAGAGAAAGAAGAGCUACAUUUCAAAAAGAAAUGAAUGCGAGAAGAUUGUAUUGAAGGAAUUGACCCCUUUAAAAAAAUUGACGCAAAGCAACAUUCAUUCGUUGUGUCCGAGAAAGAAUGACUGCAAUUGAGAAGAUUGACGGCAAAGUGAAGAAAUGGCAUUCCUUCCGUCAUUCUACUUUCUCUUAUUUGAGUCAUAGGACCUUCGUACUAUUAAGAGGGGUAUAUGUUCUCGAAGCUUAGGUCUGUUGUCAUGCCUAGUUGAAACCUAUGAAAGAAUGAGAGAAAUCUCUUUGUGUUCCGAAUGAUUAUAUGUCAACAGAAGACGUUGUUCUUCGGAGUUGUGGGAGAUAUCUUUCAGACCAAGGAUUUAGCAUUUCUUGCUCCGCAAGGAAUGUUACUGUUGUGCUCAAGAUGCGACCAUUGGAAACGUGUCAUUUGGCCAUUGGCUGAUCCGAGUGUCUAAUUUGGUCAUUUCCCAUUAGGGAAGGAUACGGCUAUAAAUAUCCACCCCGCACCAACGUUGUCCGUUGCCUGCUGCGCUUAGGAUCCUGAGAAGAUUGAUUGAGCAUUCCCUAUCGAGAGAUUUGAGUUUAAGAUACACCGAGAGAAAAUCAAGAGCCAAAACUUAGAAAGUGGUUCAGCAUUACAGUAGUUCUGAGUUAGAGUUCAUGCACCUGUUAGAGCAUCUCCAGCCGUUGGCCCCCCAGGAGGCGCUAAAAAUCGCCCCCUGGGGGCGCGCCGGUGCUAAACCGCGCGCUGGGGGCGUGAUGCCCCCCAGUCGCGGCGCCCACAUUUUUUUUUGAAAAUUUUAAAUACGGCACAAACACGGCACAAAUUCAAUGCAAUCUUCGGCGAGUUCAUUCAAACUUAAACAUAUUUUACAAAAAAGAAAAAAAA
This 36300-nucleotide long non-coding RNA is filed under the name Triticum aestivum (bread wheat). RNAcentral's name for it is "long non-coding RNA (TAES_LNC016054)". The stretch from base 10295 to 10429 matches the Rfam family "MIR1120/MIR1122 microRNA precursor family". Lineage: Eukaryota; Viridiplantae; Streptophyta; Magnoliopsida; Poales; Poaceae. The record is from RNAcentral.